UUAUUUCACAAAGUUUUUAAAAGUCAUUAACAUUUUGGAUAUCUCAAAACUUUUUAAGACUCUUUAAAACUCACAAUUGAAUACAAGACUAUUUAUAAGUCACAAUUGAAUACCUUCAAACUUUUAAACUCAUUUAAACUCAUUAAAAGUCAUUAAAAGUUAGAAUUGGAUACACCACAUGACAUAAAAUGACUUUUAACCAAAAUAGAAAUCCUU
Molecule: long non-coding RNA, 216 nt
Filed under: Prunus persica (peach)
Lineage: Eukaryota; Viridiplantae; Streptophyta; Magnoliopsida; Rosales; Rosaceae
Description: long non-coding RNA (PPER_LNC007911)
Source: RNAcentral